Pongo abelii (Sumatran orangutan) is the source of this 117-nucleotide unclassified non-coding RNA. It matches the Rfam family "Metazoan signal recognition particle RNA". Rfam says of the family: The signal recognition particle (SRP) is a universally conserved ribonucleoprotein. It is involved in the co-translational targeting of proteins to membranes. NCBI's taxonomy places the organism in Eukaryota, Metazoa, Chordata, Mammalia, Primates, Hominidae. The record is from Ensembl.
GCCGGGCGUAAUGGCUCACGCCUGUAAUCCCAGCACUUUGGGAGGCUGAGGCGGGUGGAUCACCUGAGGCCAGGAGUUCAAGACCAGCCUGACCAACAUGGGGAAAUCCCGUCUCUA